RNAcentral lists this ribosomal RNA (253 nucleotides) under uncultured bacterium. Its description in RNAcentral is "partial 16S ribosomal RNA". It matches the Rfam family "Bacterial small subunit ribosomal RNA", at positions 524 to 776 of the family's 1533-position model. The record is from RNAcentral.
GACGAACCGUGCGAACGUUGUUCGGAAUCACUGGGCUUAAAGGGCGCGUAGGCGGGUUCGCAAGUCUGUGGUGAAAGCCUCCAGCUUAACUGGAGAAGUGCCGUGGAUACUGCGAAUCUUGAGGAGGGUAAGGGCGUCUGGAACGGUCGGUGGAGCGGUGAAAUGCGUUGAUAUCGACCGGAACUCCGGUGGCGAAGGCGAGGCGCUGGACCCUUUCUGACGCUGAGGCGCGAAAGCCAGGGGAGCAAACGGG